Salmo salar (Atlantic salmon) is the source of this 121-nucleotide non-coding RNA. The record is from RefSeq and is a predicted model, not a curated record. Lineage: Eukaryota; Metazoa; Chordata; Actinopteri; Salmoniformes; Salmonidae.
ACCAUUUAAUUGGUUUUUCAUUACGCACAAGCCUUUCUACUUUUACUAAAGACUUCCGCGGAGAGGAACACUUACGGAAGUUCAAACGUAUUUUUGAAAGGGCUUUGCUUUCUGGCAGAGC